This is a non-coding RNA of Armillaria nabsnona, 84 nucleotides long. Lineage: Eukaryota; Fungi; Basidiomycota; Agaricomycetes; Agaricales; Physalacriaceae. The record is from the annotation of a GenBank genome assembly.
UGCCCCAUGGCUGAGUUGGUUACAGCGUCCGACUGUUAUGUUCUGACAAUCGGAAGGUCGAGAGUUCGAGCCUCUCUGGGGCAG